Molecule: ribosomal RNA, 119 nt
Filed under: Pteropus alecto (black flying fox)
Lineage: Eukaryota; Metazoa; Chordata; Mammalia; Chiroptera; Pteropodidae
Source: RNAcentral
GUCUAUGGCCAUGCCAUCCUGAACAAGCUUGAUCCCAUCUGAUCUCAGAAGCUAAGCAGGGGCAGGCCUGGUUAAUACUUGGAUGGGAGACCAUCUAGGAAGACCAGGUGCUGUAGAUG